UACGUAGGGGGCAAGCGUUUGUCCGGAUUUAUUGGGCGUAAAGAGCGUGUAGGCGGCCAUACAGGUCCGUUGUGAAAACUGGAGGCUUAACCUCCAGACGUCGAUGGAAACCGUAUGGCUAGAGUCCGGAAGAGGAGAGUGGAAUUCCUGGUGUAGCGGUGAAAUGCGCAGAUAUCAGGAAGAACACCCGUGGCGAAGGCGGCUCUCUGGGACGGUACUGACGCUGAGACGCGAAAGCGUGGGGGAGCGAACAGG
This 255-nucleotide ribosomal RNA is filed under the name uncultured bacterium. RNAcentral describes it as "partial 16S ribosomal RNA". It matches the Rfam family "Bacterial small subunit ribosomal RNA", at positions 524 to 776 of the family's 1533-position model. The record is from RNAcentral.